RNAcentral lists this ribosomal RNA (201 nucleotides) under Leptosphaeria sp. K94-019. RNAcentral's name for it is "5.8S ribosomal RNA". The stretch from base 47 to 200 matches the Rfam family "5.8S ribosomal RNA". Rfam says of the family: 5.8S ribosomal RNA (5.8S rRNA) is a component of the large subunit of the eukaryotic ribosome. It is transcribed by RNA polymerase I as part of the 45S precursor that also contains 18S and 28S rRNA. The record is from RNAcentral. Lineage: Eukaryota; Fungi; Ascomycota; Dothideomycetes; Pleosporales; Leptosphaeriaceae.
AAACCUUUUGUAAUUGCAGUCAGCGUCAGAAAAACAUAAUAAUUACAACUUUCAACAACGGAUCUCUUGGUUCUGGCAUCGAUGAAGAACGCAGCGAAAUGCGAUAAGUAGUGUGAAUUGCAGAAUUCAGUGAAUCAUCGAAUCUUUGAACGCACAUUGCGCCCCUUGGUAUUCCAUGGGGCAUGCCUGUUCGAGCGUCAU